Molecule: long non-coding RNA, 565 nt
Organism: Haemorhous mexicanus (house finch)
Lineage: Eukaryota; Metazoa; Chordata; Aves; Passeriformes; Fringillidae
Exons: 4
Source: RefSeq, a predicted model, not a curated record
CCCCGCCGCCGGCGCGCGCGCCGCGCCGUAGCCAAUCGGAGGAGGGGAUGUGCGCCGCCACGGCCGGGCCGCCGCGACGAGACGGGCGCGAGAGAGACGUUCCGGGGAGAGAAGGGUCCGCGCUGUGGCGGGGCUACUCCCCCGAGCUGUCCUGCAGGGCAGCCAGGCCGCGGCUGCAGACAGCGAGGGGAUGGUCUGGGCUUGGGCCGCUGCAGCCCGGAGGAGUUAUCUGCUAGAUAAGGGAACAGACAUUUUCUCUCUGUGCUGACACUGCUGAGGCACCGCAAACCCUGGGGCUGCAAGGUGGAGGUUUCCACAAGUCAAGCAGCCCAAGGGAGACCACCACAGAGUGAAUUCACUUCCCUCUGGAUUUCCUGCAAGUUAAUUGUGAUGGCAUAAAGGUGUUUCCACGUCCACUUUUGUCUGUUCCUCUUUUUGGCAAAGCCCUGCCUGGUUCUUGGCCCUGUGUGCUCUUACAUAAAGCUUUCCUGAAGCCUUGGUCAGGUUUGUACUGCUGGGUUUUCUUUAAUGUAAUCUUCUGGUUAAAAGCUUUCAGUUCUUGCAU